UGGGGAAUAUUGGACAAUGGGCGAAAGCCUGAUCCAGCCAUGCCGCGUGUGUGAAGAAGGUCUUCGGAUUGUAAAGCACUUUAAGUUGGGAGGAAGGGUUGUAGAUUAAUACUCUGCAAUUUUGACGUUACCGACAGAAUAAGCACCGGCUAACUCUGUGCCAGCAGCCGCGGUAAUACAGAGGGUGCAAGCGUUAAUCGGAAUUACUGGGCGUAAAGCGCGCGUAGGUGGUUUGUUAAGUUGGAUGUGAAAUCCCCGGGCUCAACCUGGGAACUGCAUCCAAAACUGGCAAGCUAGAGUAUGGUAGAGGGUGGUGGAAUUUCCUGUGUAGCGGUGAAAUGCGUAGAUAUAGGAAGGAACACCAGUGGCGAAGGCGACCACCUGGACUGAUACUGACACUGAGGUGCGAAAGCGUGGGGAGCAAACAGGAUUAGAUACCCAAGUAGUCCCUGAGCGGGCUGGCAAGGCG
RNAcentral lists this ribosomal RNA (469 nucleotides) under uncultured bacterium. RNAcentral describes it as "bacterial SSU rRNA". It matches the Rfam family "Bacterial small subunit ribosomal RNA", at positions 355 to 822 of the family's 1533-position model. The record is from RNAcentral.